UUAAGCGACUAAGCGUACACGGUGGAUGCCCUGGCAGUCAGAGGCGAUGAAGGACGUGCUAAUCUGCGAAAAGCGCCGGCGAGGUGAUAUGAACCCUUGACCCGGCGAUGUCCGAAUGGGGAAACCCAGUGCAAUCCGUUGCACUAUCGUUAACUGAAUACAUAGGUUAACGAGGCGAACCGGGGGAACUGAAACAUCUAAGUACCCCGAGGAAAAGAAAUCAACCGAGAUUCCCCCAGUAGCGGCGAGCGAACGGGGAGCAGCCCGGAGUCUGAAUCAGCUUGUGUGUUAGUGGAAGCGUCUGGAAAGUCGCAGGGUACAGGGUGAUACUCCCGUACACUAAAACACACAGGCUGUGAACUCGAAGAGUAGGGCGGGACACGUGGUAUCCUGUCUGAAUAUGGGGGGACCAUCCUCCAAGGCUAAAUACUCCUGACUGACCGAUAGUGAACCAGUACCGUGAGGGAAAGGCGAAAAGAACCCCGGCGAGGGGAGUGAAAAAGAACCUGAAACCGUGUACGUACAAGCAGUGGGAGCCUCUUUAUGGGGUGACUGCGUACCUUUUGUAUAAUGGGUCAGCGACUUAUAUUCUGUAGCAAGGUUAACCGUAUAGGGGAGCCGAAGGGAAACCGAGUCUUAACUGGGCGUUAAGUUGCAGGGUAUAGACCCGAAACCCGGUGAUCUAGCCAUGGGCAGGUUGAAGGUUGGGUAACACUAACUGGAGGACCGAACCGACUAAUGUUGAAAAAUUAGCGGAUGACCUGUGGCUGGGGGUGAAAGGCCAAUCAAACCGGGAGAUAGCUGGUUCUCCCCGAAAGCUAUUUAGGUAGCGCCUCGUGAACUCAUCUUCGGGGGUAGAGCACUGUUUCGGCUAGGGGGCCAUCCCGGCUUACCAACCCGAUGCAAACUACGAAUACCGAAGAAUGUUAUCACGGGAGACACACGGCGGGUGCUAACGUCCGUCGUGAAGAGGGAAACAACCCAGACCGCCAGCUAAGGUCCCAAAGUCAUGGUUAAGUGGGAAACGAUGUGGGAAGGCACAGACAGCCAGGAUGUUGGCUUAGAAGCAGCCAUCAUUUAAAGAAAGCGUAAUAGCUCACUGGUCGAGUCGGCCUGCGCGGAAGAUGUAACGGGGCUAAACCAUGCACCGAAGCUGCGGCAGCGACACUAUGUGUUGUUGGGUAGGGGAGCGUUCUGUAAGCCGUUGAAGGUGUGCUGUGAGGCAUGCUGGAGGUAUCAGAAGUGCGAAUGCUGACAUAAGUAACGAUAAAGCGGGUGAAAAGCCCGCUCGCCGGAAGACCAAGGGUUCCUGUCCAACGUUAAUCGGGGCAGGGUGAGUCGACCCCUAAGGCGAGGCCGAAAGGCGUAGUCGAUGGGAAACAGGUUAAUAUUCCUGUACUUGGUGUUACUGCGAAGGGGGGACGGAGAAGGCUAUGUUAGCCGGGCGACGGUUGUCCCGGUUUAAGCAUGUAGGCGGAGGUUCCAGGUAAAUCCGGUACCUUGUUAACGCUGAGGUGUGAUGACGAGGCACUACGGUGCUGAAGUGAUAAAUGCCCUGCUUCCAGGAAAAGCCUCUAAGCAUCAGGUAACACGAAAUCGUACCCCAAACCGACACAGGUGGUCAGGUAGAGAAUACCAAGGCGCUUGAGAGAACUCGGGUGAAGGAACUAGGCAAAAUGGUGCCGUAACUUCGGGAGAAGGCACGCUGAUGUGUAGGUGAAGCCCCUGCGGGUGGAGCUGAAAUCAGUCGAAGAUACCAGCUGGCUGCAACUGUUUAUUAAAAACACAGCACUGUGCAAACACGAAAGUGGACGUAUACGGUGUGACGCCUGCCCGGUGCCGGAAGGUUAAUUGAUGGGGUUAGCGGCAACGCGAAGCUCUUGAUCGAAGCCCCGGUAAACGGCGGCCGUAACUAUAACGGUCCUAAGGUAGCGAAAUUCCUUGUCGGGU
Molecule: ribosomal RNA, 1950 nt
Filed under: human gut metagenome
Description: bacterial LSU rRNA
Rfam family: Bacterial large subunit ribosomal RNA
Source: RNAcentral